Molecule: transfer RNA, 73 nt
Filed under: Mustela putorius furo (domestic ferret)
Lineage: Eukaryota; Metazoa; Chordata; Mammalia; Carnivora; Mustelidae
Rfam family: tRNA
About the family: Transfer RNA (tRNA) molecules are approximately 80 nucleotides in length.
Source: Rfam by way of RNAcentral
GCCUGGCUGGCUCAGUCAGUAGAGCAUGUGACUUUUGAUCUCAGGGUCGUGAGUUCAAGCCCCAUGUUGGGCU